This 432-nucleotide ribosomal RNA is filed under the name uncultured bacterium. RNAcentral's name for it is "partial 16S ribosomal RNA". It matches the Rfam family "Bacterial small subunit ribosomal RNA", at positions 29 to 506 of the family's 1533-position model. The record is from RNAcentral.
AACGAACGCUGGCGGCAUGCCUAACACAUGCAAGUCGAACGAGACCUUCGGGUCUAGUGGCGCACGGGUGCGUAACGCGUGGGAACCUGCCCUUAGGUUCGGAAUAACUCCCCGAAAGGGGUGCUAAUACCGGAUAAUGUCUUCGGACCAAAGAUUUAUCGCCUUUGGAUGGGCCCGCGUUGGAUUAGCUAGUUGGUAGGGUAAAAGCCUACCAAGGCGACGAUCCAUAGCUGGUCUGAGAGGAUGAUCAGCCACACUGGGACUGAGACACGGCCCAGACUCCUACGGGAGGCAGCAGUGGGGAAUAUGGGACAAUGGGCGAAAGCCUGAUCCAGCAAGGCCGCGUGAGUGAUGAAGGCCUUAGGGUUGUAAAGCUCUUUUACCCGGGAUGAUAAUGACGGUACCGGGAGAAUAAGCUCCGGCUAACUCCGU